AGAGUUUGAUCCUGGCUCAGGAUGAACGCUGGCGGCGUGCCUAAUACAUGCAAGUCGAGCGAACGGACGAGAAGCUUGCUUCUCUGAUGUUAGCGGCGGACGGGUGAGUAACACGUGGAUAACCUACCUAUAAGACUGGGAUAACUUCGGGAAACCGGAGCUAAUACCGGAUAAUAUUUUGAACCGCAUGGUUCAAAAGUGAAAGACGGUCUUGCUGUCACUUAUAGAUGGAUCCGCGCUGCAUUAGCUAGUUGGUAAGGUAACGGCUUACCAAGGCAACGAUGCAUAGCCGACCUGAGAGGGUGAUCGGCCACACUGGAACUGAGACACGGUCCAGACUCCUACGGGAGGCAGCAGUAGGGAAUCUUCCGCAAUGGGCGAAAGCCUGACGGAGCAACGCCGCGUGAGUGAUGAAGGUCUUCGGAUCGUAAAACUCUGUUAUUAGGGAAGAACAUAUGUGUAAGUAACUGUGCACAUCUUGACGGUACCUAAUCAGAAAGCCACGGCUAACUACGUGCCAGCAGCCGCGGUAAUACGUAGGUGGCAAGCGUUAUCCGGAAUUAUUGGGCGUAAAGCGCGCGUAGGCGGUUUUUUAAGUCUGAUGUGAAAGCCCACGGCUCAACCGUGGAGGGUCAUUGGAAACUGGAAAACUUGAGUGCAGAAGAGGAAAGUGGAAUUCCAUGUGUAGCGGUGAAAUGCGCAGAGAUAUGGAGGAACACCAGUGGCGAAGGCGACUUUCUGGUCUGUAACUGACGCUGAUGUGCGAAAGCGUGGGGAUCAAACAGGAUUAGAUACCCUGGUAGUCCACGCCGUAAAC
This 817-nucleotide ribosomal RNA is filed under the name Staphylococcus aureus VET0155R. RNAcentral's name for it is "bacterial SSU rRNA". It matches the Rfam family "Bacterial small subunit ribosomal RNA", at positions 8 to 807 of the family's 1533-position model. The record is from RNAcentral. Lineage: Bacteria; Bacillati; Bacillota; Bacilli; Caryophanales; Staphylococcaceae.